RNAcentral lists this ribosomal RNA (253 nucleotides) under uncultured bacterium. RNAcentral's name for it is "partial 16S ribosomal RNA". It matches the Rfam family "Bacterial small subunit ribosomal RNA", at positions 524 to 776 of the family's 1533-position model. The record is from RNAcentral.
UACGUAGGAGACGAGCGUUGUCCGGAUUCAUUGGGCGUAAAGGGUGCGUAGGCGGCGCGGUAAGUCGGGUGUGAAAUCUUGGAGCUUAACUCCGAAACUGCAUUUGAUACUGCCGUGCUUGAGGACUGGAGAGGAGACUGGAAUUUACGGUGUAGCGGUGAAAUGCGUAGAUAUCGUAAGGAAGACCAGUGGCGAAGGCGGGUCUCUGGACAGUUCCUGACGCUGAGGCACGAAGGCCAGGGGAGCAAACGGG